This is a long non-coding RNA of Coregonus clupeaformis (lake whitefish), 211 nucleotides long. RefSeq lists it as uncharacterized. The record is from RefSeq and is a predicted model, not a curated record. The transcript has 3 exons. NCBI's taxonomy places the organism in Eukaryota, Metazoa, Chordata, Actinopteri, Salmoniformes, Salmonidae.
AACAAGACCUGCCAACAGAGCUCACUGGAGCAGGGAGACAUCCCGUCAUCCCUUCGGCACCUGACAAAGAUUCAGAUCCUGCUGAACGAUGUUAAGCAGUCGAUUAACCACAUGCAGGGGAAGCUGAACACCAUGCAGGGGCAGUGUAUUGAGUUGCAGACUGCCAUAUCUAAGAUCAUCCCAGCAGCCGACGUUGCUGUACAGAGUGGGG